GUACGGUGAUGAUUAACCUUCUGGUUUCGCUUUCCUGAGAUGCAUGAUGACACCUUUACCUUGGCUGUGUCUGAGUAC
Molecule: small nucleolar RNA, 78 nt
Organism: Lethenteron reissneri (Far Eastern brook lamprey)
Lineage: Eukaryota; Metazoa; Chordata; Hyperoartia; Petromyzontiformes; Petromyzontidae
Product: small nucleolar RNA SNORD53/SNORD92
Source: RefSeq, a predicted model, not a curated record